CGGAGCAUGCGGCUUAAUUCGACGCAACGCGAAGAACCUUACCAAGGCUUGACAUAUACAGGAAUAUGGCAGAGAUGUCAUAGCCGCAAGGUCUGUAUACAGGUGGUGCAUGGUUGCCGUCAGCUCGUGUCGUGAGAUGUUGGGUUAAGUCCCGCAACGAGCGCAACCCUCGUUCUGUGUUGCCAGCAUUUAGUUGGGGACUCACAGGAGACUGCCGGGGUUAACUCGGAGGAAGGUGGGGAUGACGUCAAAUCAUCAUGCCCCUUAUGUCUUGGGCUGCACGCAUGCUACAAUGGCUGGUACAAACGGCUGCAAUACCGCAAGGUGGAGCGAAUCCGAGAAAGCCAGUCUCAGUUCGGAUUGGGGUCUGCAACUCGACCCCAUGAAGUCGGAGUUGCUAGUAAUCGUAGAUCAGCAACGCUACGGUGAAUACGUUCCCGGGGCUUGUACACACCGCCCGUCACAUCACGA
RNAcentral lists this ribosomal RNA (471 nucleotides) under uncultured Actinomycetes bacterium. RNAcentral describes it as "bacterial SSU rRNA". It matches the Rfam family "Bacterial small subunit ribosomal RNA", at positions 933 to 1407 of the family's 1533-position model. The record is from RNAcentral. Lineage: Bacteria; Bacillati; Actinomycetota; Actinomycetes.